UCUGAGAUGGAAGAUGGCGAGAAAAGCUGUGUGUAUUUCUGAGGUGCCCGUACCGCAAACCGACACAGGUAGGUAGGAAGAAGAUUCUAAGGCCAACGGGAGAAGGGUUGUUAAGGAACUCGGCAAAUUGACCCCGUAACUUCGGGAGAAGGGGUGCUCCAGAGAUGGAGCCGCAGAGAAUCGGCCCAAGCAACUGUUUACCAAAAACACAGGUUUGUGCUAAAUCGAAAGAUGACGUAUAUGAGCUGACGCCUGCCCGGUGCUGGAAGGUUAAGAGGAGAUGUGCAAGCAUUGUAUCGAAGCCCCAGUGAACGGCGGCCGUAACAAUAACGGUCCUAAGGUAGCGAAAUUCCUUGUCAGGUAAGUUCUGACCCGCAUGAAAGGCGUAAUGAUUUGGGCACUGUCUCAACAGCCCGCCCGGCGAAAUUGUAGUACCGGUGAAGAUGCCGGUUACCCGCGACAAGACGGAAAGACCCCAUGGAGCUUUACUGUAGCCUAAUAUUGGGUUUCGAUGUUGCAUGCACAGGAUAGAUGGGACACAGGGAAACAAUCGCUUUGGCGGUUGCGGAGUGGCCGUUGGGAUACCAUCCUUGCGAUAUUGGAAUUCUAACCUGCGGCUCUGAAUCGAGUCGGGGGACAUUGUUAGGUGGGCAGUUUGACUGGGGCGGUCGCCUCCUAAAAAGUAACGGAGGCGUUCAAAGGUUCGCUCAGCUUGAACGGAAAUCAAGCAAAAGAGUGCAAACGCAGAAGCGAGCCUAACUGCGAGACUGACGGGUCGAGCAGUAACGAAAGUUGGAGUUAGUGAUCCGGUGGUAUGUGAGUGGAAAUGCCAUCGCUCAACGGAUAAAAGUUACCCUGGGGAUAACAGGCUGAUCUCCCCCAAGAGUCCACAUCGACGGGGAGGUUUGGCACCUCGAUGUCGGCUCAUCGCAUCCUGGGGCUGUAUUCGGUCCCAAGGGUUUGGCUGUUCGCCAAUUAAAGCGGUACGCGAGCUGGGUUCAGAACGUCGUGAGACAGUUCGGUCCCUAUCUGUCGUGGGCGCAGGAUAUUUGAUGGGAGCUGUCCCUAGUACGAGAGGACCGGGACGGACGUACCUCUGGCGCACCAGUUGUUCCGCCAGGAGCAUAGCUGGGCAACUACGUACGGAUCGGAUAAACGCUGAAAGCAUCUAAGCGUGAAGCCGACCCAAAGAUAAGAUAUCCCACUGAUUAGAUCAGGUAAGAUCCCUUGAAGACUACAAGGUUGAUAGGCACGAUGUGUAAGUGGAGUGAUCCAUUCAGCAAGAGUGUACUAAUAGAUCGAGGGCUUGACU
RNAcentral lists this ribosomal RNA (1312 nucleotides) under metagenome. RNAcentral's name for it is "bacterial LSU rRNA". It matches the Rfam family "Bacterial large subunit ribosomal RNA", at positions 1592 to 2925 of the family's 2925-position model. The record is from RNAcentral.